UGGAAGCUGGACAGCAAAGGUUUGCGAAGUGACAGUAUCACCUUCCCCUUUUCUUCUAAUGCUGUUGGAACUUCUCAGUCUGAGUUAGCAUCAAUUACCCAGCCCACCUGGAGACAGCACUUCUCAUCGUUCCUCUGCCUUGAGGUUGUUCAAAGGCUCCAAGAGAAAAUCCAGCAGGGAGAGAAGGACGUUUUCAUCCUGAGAUGGCUCCGUUUGGAAGCCCCAG
Molecule: non-coding RNA, 226 nt
Organism: Phascolarctos cinereus (koala)
Lineage: Eukaryota; Metazoa; Chordata; Mammalia; Diprotodontia; Phascolarctidae
Source: RefSeq, a predicted model, not a curated record